Heterocephalus glaber (naked mole-rat) is the source of this 834-nucleotide non-coding RNA. Lineage: Eukaryota; Metazoa; Chordata; Mammalia; Rodentia; Bathyergidae. The record is from RefSeq and is a predicted model, not a curated record.
UAUUCAUGCCCUUAAUCUGUUCUCUCAACCUGUCCCAAUUCCCCAUUCUUCAAGCCCCAGCUGAAGCUCCUGUAUGGCUCCCUCCUUCUGAACCAAUGCCAAGUCAUCUUCAUCUCAGAACUUCUACAGAACAUUUCUUUAAAACCAGUAGCUGAUCCACAGUAGGGCCCUGAGCACCACGAGACAAACAUGCAUUGUGUGUUGAGUGUAUGUGCACAUUGACUCACGUUGAUUAUGUUCUACCAUUUUUCAAAUACAUCUAGGUGCAUUUAUGGAAGGCAGUAAAGGUCCCAGGGAAGAACGCAGGCUCUGGGUGAUGCAGCUUGAGUACCACUGCACUAUAAUUCUGCCCUCAUAAGUGAGCCUUCAGAAUGAGUUCCUGGAGGUGAAAGGUCUGCGUUUAAAGCCAGACUCCACAGAGGUGAGGUGAUCUUCCUUGGAGGAAAGGUUACUGGGCCUGCUGAUGCGAUUCCUUUUCCAUCCCAUAAGUGACAAAAAUCAAGGCCCAUCAGUUGAGGAUGAAAAUGGAAAUUUACUUUCUGAGAAUCCUGCUGGGUACCUUACAUAGAGCUUGAGGCAUUCAGCAUCAGUUUGCAGCCUUUUUGUAUGGUCAGAACUUCUAAAAGAAAUUUGCUAUAGUUAAUGAGACUGAGACAGAAAAAUAGACCAUGGAUGGUUAGCCAAGAUCAACAGUGGUUUCUCCUCCUGACCUCUUCCUGUUUGCACAUGCUAAAUGUAGGCAAAUAUCUCAGUACACAGUCCACUAUUAUAGUGUAUAGGCUUUGGGGUUAGAAGAUCAAAUCCUAACUUUGCCACUGAGAUUAUAUGAGCAUA